CUGGCGGCGCGCCUAAUCCAUGCAAGUCGAGCGACGCAUUCCUUAGCCCGUAAGGGCGGGUUUGACGGAGCGGCGAACGGGUGCGUAACACGUGACCAAUCUGCCCCGAAGACCGGGAUAGCCCGGGGAAACCCGGAUUAAUACCGGAUGACCUCAUCAUCACGCAUGUGGAGAUGAGCAAAGGUUCAGGCGCUUCGGGAUGAGGUCGCGGCCCAUCAGCUUGUUGGUGAGGUAACGGCUCACCAAGGCAAUGACGGGUAGCUGGUCUGAGAGGACGAUCAGCCACACUGGAACUGAGAUACGGUCCAGACUCCUACGGGAGGCAGCAGGAGGGAAUCUUGCGCAAUGGGCGAAAGCCUGACGCAGCGACGCCGCGUGGGGGAUGAAUGCCUUAGGGUUGUAAACCCCUUUCACGAGGGAAGAAACUGACGGUACCUCGAGAAGAAGCCCCGGCCAACUACGUGCCAGCAGCCGCGGUAAUACGUAGGGGGCGAGCGUUGUCCGGAUUUAUUGGGCGUAAGGGCUC
This 526-nucleotide ribosomal RNA is filed under the name uncultured bacterium. Its description in RNAcentral is "bacterial SSU rRNA". It matches the Rfam family "Bacterial small subunit ribosomal RNA", at positions 36 to 570 of the family's 1533-position model. The record is from RNAcentral.